This 416-nucleotide ribosomal RNA is filed under the name uncultured Actinomycetes bacterium. RNAcentral's name for it is "bacterial SSU rRNA". It matches the Rfam family "Bacterial small subunit ribosomal RNA", at positions 9 to 420 of the family's 1533-position model. Lineage: Bacteria; Bacillati; Actinomycetota; Actinomycetes. The record is from RNAcentral.
GAGUUUGAUCGUGGCUCAGGACGAACGCUGGCGGCGUGCUUAACACAUGCAAGUGGAGCGACGAACCAGGGCUUGCCCUGGGGCAGAGCCGCGAACGGGUGAGUAACACGUGGGCAACCUGCCCCGAUGACUGGGACAACCCGAGGAAACUCGGGCUAAUACCGGAUGUGCUCCCUCACAUAAGUGAGACGAGUAAAGGAAGCUUCGGCCUCCGCAUUGGGAUGGGCCCGCGGCCCAUUAGCUUGUUGGUGGGGUAACGCCUACCAAGGCAACGAUGGGUAGCUGGCCUGAGAGGACGAUCAGCCACACUGGGACUGAGACACGGCCCAGACUCCUACGGGAGGCAGCAGUGGGGAAUCUUGCACAAUGCGCGAAAGCGUGAUGCAGCAACGCCGCGUGAGGGAAGACGGCCUCGG